UUAUUUUAAAUGUGRAUUUUUUAGCCAAGAUUACUAUUAGUUAUGAUCUUUAAAUUUAAAAAAUUUGGCGGUAUUUUAGUCUAUUCAGAGGAACUUGUUUCUUAAUCGAUAAUCCACGAUGAUUUUUACUUUUACUUUAAAUUUAUAUAUCGUUGUUUAUAAAAAUUUUAGGAGAAUAUGAAUUUUUGUAAUUUUUAAUUUGACAAUAAUUCAGAUCAAGGUGUAGUUGAUGUU
RNAcentral lists this ribosomal RNA (234 nucleotides) under Loensus sp. MEL189. Its description in RNAcentral is "partial 12S ribosomal RNA". The record is from RNAcentral. Lineage: Eukaryota; Metazoa; Arthropoda; Insecta; Coleoptera; Tenebrionidae.